CCUUCGGGGUACUCGAGUGGCGAACGGGUGAGUAACACGUGGGUGAUCUGCCCUGCACUUUGGGAUAAGCCUGGGAAACUGGGUCUAAUACCGAAUAGGACCACNNNNNNCAUGGUGUGUGGUGGAAAGCUUUUGCGGUGUGGGAUGGGCCCGCGGCCUAUCAGCUUGUUGGUGGGGUAAUGGCCUACCAAGGCGACGACGGGUAGCCGGCCUGAGAGGGUGACCGGCCACACUGGGACUGAGAUACGGCCCAGACUCCUACGGGAGGCAGCAGUGGGGAAUAUUGCACAAUGGGCGCAAGCCUGAUGCAGCGACGCCGCGUGAGGGAUGACGGCCUUCGGGUUGUAAACCUCUUUCAAUAGGGACGAAGCGCAAGUGACGGUACCUAUAGAAGAAGCACCGGCCAACUACGUGCCAGCAGCCGCGGUAAUACGUAGGGUGCGAGCGUUGUCCGGAAUUACUGGGCGUAAAGAGCUCGUAGGUGGUUUGUCGCGUUGUUCGUGAAAACUCACAGCUUAACUGUGGGCGUGCGGGCGAUACGGGCAGACUAGAGUACUGCAGGGGGGACUGGAAUUCCUGGUGUAGCGGUGGAAUGCGCAGAUAUCAGGAGGAACACCGGUGGCGAAGGCGGGUCUCUGGGCAGUAACUGACGCUGAGGAGCGAAAGCGUGGGGAGCGAACAGGAUUAGAUACCCUGGUAGUCCACGCCGUACACGGUGGGUACUAGGUGUGGGUUCCUUCCUUGGGAUCCGUGCCGUAGCUAACGCAUUAAGUACCCCGCCUGGNGAGUACGGCCGCAAGNNNANAACUCAAAGGAAUUGACGGGGGCCCGCACAAGCGGC
This 841-nucleotide ribosomal RNA is filed under the name uncultured bacterium. RNAcentral's name for it is "bacterial SSU rRNA". It matches the Rfam family "Bacterial small subunit ribosomal RNA", at positions 77 to 933 of the family's 1533-position model. The record is from RNAcentral.